GCUCAGCCGUAAACUCAGACAUCCAGCUACAAUUAGAUGUCCGCCAGGGUACUACGAGCAUUAGCUUAAAACCCAAAGGACCUGACGGUGUCUCAGACCCCCCUAGAGGAGCCUGUUCUAGAACCGAUAACCCCCGUUCAACCUCACCACUUCUAGCCACCCCAGCCUAUAUACCGCCGUCGUCAGCUUACCCUGUGAAGGUAAUAAAAGUAAGCAAAAUGGGCACAACCCAAAACGUCAGGUCGAGGUGUAGCGCAUGAAGUGGGAAGAAAUGGGCUACAUUUUCUAAUAUAGAAUAUUACGAACAUGCACCAUGAAACAAUGCUUGAAGGAGGAUUUAGUAGUAAAAGGGAAAUAGAGUGUCCCUUUGAACCCGGCUCUGAGACGCGU
RNAcentral lists this ribosomal RNA (390 nucleotides) under Cyprinus carpio (common carp). RNAcentral's name for it is "partial 12S ribosomal RNA". It matches the Rfam family "Bacterial small subunit ribosomal RNA", at positions 794 to 1384 of the family's 1533-position model. Lineage: Eukaryota; Metazoa; Chordata; Actinopteri; Cypriniformes; Cyprinidae. The record is from RNAcentral.